GGGGUGGUCGGCUCCUGGGCCCCCCACGGGAAGAGGCUGGCCCUGGGCAUACAUACCGGGUCGCAGGGGCGAACGGGCCCCCUGGUGGGCCGGGCCCGGUCGCAGUCGCGACCCCUGCGACCCUGGUAUGUACGCCAGUGGCCUCGGCCCAUGGCCUUAGCAGCCCACUGGGCUUUUGCCUAGUUUGCCCGAUGGCCAGUCUAGGUCUAAUCAUAGCCCUCCAGCACCCAUACACUAAUCACAGGCCCUGCCACAGCAACCCAUAUGUUCAAAAUAGCCAAUACAUGUUUGUGUUCCAGACUCUACAGGGAGUGCAGAAUUAUUAGGCAAAUUAGUAUUUUGACCACAUCAUCCUCUUUAUGCAUGUUGUCUUACUCCAAGCUGUAUAGGCUCGAAAGCCUACUACCAAUUAAGCAUAUUAGGUGAUGUGCAUCUCUGUAAUGAGAAGGGGUGUGGUCUAAUGACAUCAACACCCUAUAUCAGGUGUGCAUAAUUAUUAGGCAACUUCCUUUCCUUUGGCAAAAUGGGUCAAAAGAAGGACUUGACAGGCU
This is a non-coding RNA of Pelobates cultripes (western spadefoot toad), 551 nucleotides long. Lineage: Eukaryota; Metazoa; Chordata; Amphibia; Anura; Pelobatidae. The record is from the annotation of a GenBank genome assembly.